This 639-nucleotide ribosomal RNA is filed under the name Staphylococcus aureus. Its description in RNAcentral is "bacterial SSU rRNA". It matches the Rfam family "Bacterial small subunit ribosomal RNA", at positions 1 to 622 of the family's 1533-position model. Lineage: Bacteria; Bacillati; Bacillota; Bacilli; Caryophanales; Staphylococcaceae. The record is from RNAcentral.
UUUAUGGAGAGUUUGAUCCUGGCUCAGGAUGAACGCUGGCGGCGUGCCUAAUACAUGCAAGUCGAGCGAACGGACGAGAAGCUUGCUUCUCUGAUGUUAGCGGCGGACGGGUGAGUAACACGUGGAUAACCUACCUAUAAGACUGGGAUAACUUCGGGAAACCGGAGCUAAUACCGGAUAAUAUUUUAAACCGCAUGGUUCAAAAGUGAAAGACGGUCUUGCUGUCACUUAUAGAUGGAUCCGCGCUGCAUUAGCUAGUUGGUAAGGUAACGGCUUACCAAGGCAACGAUGCAUAGCCGACCUGAGAGGGUGAUCGGCCACACUGGAACUGAGACACGGUCCAGACUCCUACGGGAGGCAGCAGUAGGGAAUCUUCCGCAAUGGGCGAAAGCCUGACGGAGCAACGCCGCGUGAGUGAUGAAGGUCUUCGGAUCGUAAAACUCUGUUAUUAGGGAAGAACAUAUGUGUAAGUAACUGUGCACAUCUUGACGGUACCUAAUCAGAAAGCCACGGCUAACUACGUGCCAGCAGCCGCGGUAAUACGUAGGUGGCAAGCGUUAUCCGGAAUUAUUGGGCGUAAAGCGCGCGUAGGCGGUUUUUUAAGUCUGAUGUGAAAGCCCACGGCUCAACCGUGGAGGG